Molecule: non-coding RNA, 30 nt
Filed under: Homo sapiens (human)
Lineage: Eukaryota; Metazoa; Chordata; Mammalia; Primates; Hominidae
Source: RNAcentral
UGGCACUUUAUCACAAGCACAGGGAGCGGC